Molecule: unclassified non-coding RNA, 104 nt
Filed under: Leishmania major strain Friedlin
Lineage: Eukaryota; Euglenozoa; Kinetoplastea; Trypanosomatida; Trypanosomatidae
Description: C/D_snoRNA
Source: RNAcentral
CGCCUCCAUGGACCUUGGAUCUGCGGUGGAUGGGCGGGCAACGAGUACUGAGACGGAUGCUGACGACGAGCCGCUAUCGCCGUCGUUCGGGCUCGGCCCGAAGC